RNAcentral lists this ribosomal RNA (502 nucleotides) under uncultured bacterium. Its description in RNAcentral is "partial 16S ribosomal RNA". It matches the Rfam family "Bacterial small subunit ribosomal RNA", at positions 355 to 874 of the family's 1533-position model. The record is from RNAcentral.
UGGGGAAUAUUGGACAAUGGGCGCAAGCCUGAUCCAGCAAUGCCGCGUGAGUGAUGAAGGCCUUAGGGUUGUAAAGCUCUUUCGCACGCGACGAUGAUGACGGUAGCGUGAGAAGAAGCCCCGGCUAACUUCGUGCCAGCAGCCGCGGUAAUACGAAGGGGGCUAGCGUUGUUCGGAAUUACUGGGCGUAAAGGGCGCGUAGGCGGCCUGUUUAGUCAGAAGUGAAAGCCCCGGGCUCAACCUGGGAAUAGCUUUUGAUACUGGCAGGCUUGAGUUCCGGAGAGGAUGGUGGAAUUCCCAGUGUAGAGGUGAAAUUCGUAGAUAUUGGGAAGAACACCGGUGGCGAAGGCGGCCAUCUGGACGGACACUGACGCUGAGGCGCGAAAGCGUGGGGAGCAAACAGGAUUAGAUACCCUGGUAGUCCACGCCGUAAAACGAUGAAUGCUAGACGUCGGGGUGCAUGCACUUCGGUGUCGCCGCUAACGCAUUAAGCAUUCCGCCU